Molecule: ribosomal RNA, 372 nt
Filed under: uncultured organism
Description: bacterial SSU rRNA
Rfam family: Bacterial small subunit ribosomal RNA
Source: RNAcentral
CGGAGGGUGCAAGCGUUGUUCGGAAUUACUGGGCGUAAAGCGCGGGCAGGUGGUCUUUUAAGUCCUUUGUGAAAUCCCGGGGCUCAACUCCGGAUGUGCAUAGGAUACUGGAAGACUGGAGACUGGUAGAGGCGAGCGGAAUUCCUGGUGUAGCGGUGGAAUGCGUAGAUAUCAGGAAGAACACCGGUGGCGAAGGCGGCUCGCUGGGCCAGUUCUGACACUCAGCCGCGAAAGCGUGGGGAGCAAACAGGAUUAGAUACCCUGGUAGUCCACGCCGUAAACGAUGGGCACUAGAUGCCGGGCCUAUAGACGGGUUCGGUGUCGCAGCUAACGCAUUAAGUGCCCCGCCUGGGGAGUACGGCCGCAAGGCUG